Molecule: transfer RNA, 84 nt
Filed under: Spirochaetota bacterium
Lineage: Bacteria; Pseudomonadati; Spirochaetota
Description: Spirochaetes bacterium tRNA-Leu
Rfam family: tRNA
About the family: Transfer RNA (tRNA) molecules are approximately 80 nucleotides in length.
Source: RNAcentral
GCCCGGAUGGUGAAAUUGGUAGACACGCUAGGUUCAGGGUCUAGUGGUCGUAAGGCCGUGUGGGUUCAAAUCCCACUCCGGGCA